This 256-nucleotide ribosomal RNA is filed under the name uncultured bacterium. RNAcentral's name for it is "partial 16S ribosomal RNA". It matches the Rfam family "Bacterial small subunit ribosomal RNA", at positions 99 to 353 of the family's 1533-position model. The record is from RNAcentral.
CGGACGGGUGAGUAACGCGUGGGUAACCUGCCUUAUACAGGGGGAUAACAGUCAGAAAUGGCUGCUAAUACCGCAUAAGCGCACAGAGCUGCAUGGCUCAGUGUGAAAAACUCCGGUGGUAUAAGAUGGACCCGCGUUGGAUUAGCUAGUUGGUGGGGUAACGGCCCACCAAGGCGGCGAUCCAUAGCCGGCCUGAGAGGGUGAACGGUCACAUUGGGACUGAGACACGGCCCAGACUCCUACGGGAGGCAGCAUG